Molecule: transfer-messenger RNA, 345 nt
Filed under: Anaeromassilibacillus sp.
Lineage: Bacteria; Bacillati; Bacillota; Clostridia; Eubacteriales; Acutalibacteraceae
Also listed under: 4 other names
Rfam family: transfer-messenger RNA
About the family: Bacterial tmRNA, also known as 10Sa RNA or SsrA, is named for its dual tRNA and mRNA-like properties.
Source: RNAcentral
GGGGAUGUAAAGGUUUCGACGGGGAUUUCAAGCCAUGGUAAGCGAGCAGCGGUGCGGAACCGCUAUAAAAUCCGUAACUUAAAAAUAACUAACAACAAUAAAGUUGCUUUAGCUGCUUAAUGCAGCUCGUUCUUCCUCGGAGUACCACGGCUGAGGUAAGGGCGUCGAUUAGUGGUAAAUGUGAAUCAAAGAGUGUUUCGGCUUUGGUCACACAAUAGAAACUACCGACUUAUGAAUCCUGUUGUUGGGAGUCAUAAUGGGGGAAUCCCAAAACAAUAACUGCGCUCGGAGAAAGCCGUGAGGCGAGAUUUUCGGACAGGAGUUCGACUCUCCUCAUCUCCACCA